This 456-nucleotide ribosomal RNA is filed under the name Triticum aestivum (bread wheat). RNAcentral describes it as "partial small subunit ribosomal RNA". The record is from RNAcentral. Lineage: Eukaryota; Viridiplantae; Streptophyta; Magnoliopsida; Poales; Poaceae.
AUGAUUCUUGACUGGGAGGUAUGGCAGGACGGCUGGCCUCUUGGACUGGGCCUGGGCACCCUGAAUCCGGGAGCCGGGGCGGUCAGGAGCGUCGGCUCCUCCUCCUCCACCGCGGCAUUCACCCCGUCCCACUGCGUCUCGUCCGUCGCUUCGUCUGAUCUGGACACAGAGUCGGCGUGGUCUUUGCCGCGCGCUGGCGGCGGCGGCGGCGGCAUCACGCUGGCGGCCCUGAUCGGCCUGGUGGACGCUAUGGAGAGCCGGCGCAGCAGGCGCCGGGGCGAGAGGGCGAGCAGGAGCGGCAGGCUGCGGGCGCUGCUGCUCUCGCUCUGCCUCCGGAGCCACCUGGAGAACGGCGGCGGCGCGGCGCCGUCGCUCGGCCAGUUCCUCGAGAUGGAGAGGAGGGCUAGCGGGAGCAGUGGCCAUCUCCACAGGAUGCUUCCGUGGAACCGUGACUGA